Molecule: unclassified non-coding RNA, 251 nt
Filed under: plant metagenome
Description: partial contains small subunit ribosomal RNA, internal transcribed spacer 1, and 5.8S ribosomal RNA
Rfam family: Eukaryotic small subunit ribosomal RNA (bases 1-54)
Source: RNAcentral
GGAAGUAAAAGUCGUAACAAGAUCUCCGUAGGUGAACCUGCGGAGGGAUCAUUACAGAGUUCAUGCCCUACCGGGUAGAUCUCCCACCCUAUGUUAUUAUUACUUUGUUGCUUUGGCGGGCCGUUAGGCUCCGGCCCGACUACCGGCCCCGGCUGGUAAGCGCCCGCCAGAGGACCCAAAACCCUGAAUAUUAGUGUCGUCUGAGUACUAUAUAAUAGUUAAAACUUUCAACAACGGAUCCCUUGGUUCUG